GUCUAUCUUCUUCAGGAUUAUUUUGUUUUGGAAAUUUAAUUUAUGAGAAGAUUAAUAGACGAAGGUUAUUU
Molecule: long non-coding RNA, 71 nt
Organism: Octopus sinensis (East Asian common octopus)
Lineage: Eukaryota; Metazoa; Mollusca; Cephalopoda; Octopoda; Octopodidae
Exons: 3
Source: RefSeq, a predicted model, not a curated record